This 440-nucleotide ribosomal RNA is filed under the name uncultured bacterium. RNAcentral describes it as "partial 16S ribosomal RNA". It matches the Rfam family "Bacterial small subunit ribosomal RNA", at positions 338 to 795 of the family's 1533-position model. The record is from RNAcentral.
CCUACGAGGUGCAGCAGUGGGGAAUAUUGCACAAUGGGGGAAACCCUGAUGCAGCGACGCCGCGUGAGCGAUGAAGUAUUUCGGUAUGUAAAGCUCUAUCAGCAGGGAAGAAAAUGACGGUACCUGACUAGGAAGCCCCGGCUAACUCCGUUCCAGCAGCCGCGGUAAUUCGUAGGGGGCAAGCGUUAUCCGGAUUUACUGGGUGUAAAGGGGGCGUAGACGGUCCUGCAAGCCAAAUGUGAAAGCCCGGGGCUCAACCCCGGGACUGCAUUUGGAACUGUAAGGCUAGAGUGUCGGAGAGGCAGGCGGAAUUCCUAGUGUAGCGGUGAAAUGCGUAGAUAUUAGGAGGAACACCAGUGGCGAAGGCGGCCUGCUGGACGAUGACUGACGUUGAGGCUCGAAAGCGUGGGGAGCAAACAGGAUUAGAUACCCCUGUAGUC